CCGGAACCAGUUCUGGAACACUACCGGUUAAGAUAUGGUCUGAGAGUAUUUUCCUGCAUACCGUUCAUCAGGUUAUGGAAAAUGCCGCGUUUUUAUGUGUCGCAUGCAUAGGGUUGUAGCAUUUUCAUAUCUGGCCCCUUCCUGGGGUACCGGUCCGGAACACCUAAAUGGCUAUAACUCCGGAACGGCUGGACCGAUCCGAACCAUUUUCAAUAGGAAGCAAUGGGACCAGAUUCCGCAUCGAAUGAACCGUCGGUCAUUAAAAUAGGUUGAGGUUUACUGCCAAAAAGUGAUGUGAGUUUUUUAUACACACACAUACACACAUACACACAUACAUACACACACACAUACAUACACACAGACAUCACCUCAAUUCGUCGAGCUGAGUUGAUUGGUAUAUGUGACUCGACCCUCCGGGCCUUCUAUCAAAAAGUAAUUUUUGGAGUGAACAUAUAGCCUUUCCAGUACACUUAGUGUACGAGAAAGGCAAAAAUUGAAGAAAAGAAAAUAAGACAAGAGUAAGCACUAUAUCCAAUAGCAACGACCCACGCGACGGAAAAGGACUUGCGAUUGGAAACUCAGCACGAGGAACUGCAGGACUGUAGUUCCGAUCUGAGUCUCGCGGACUGACUCAAUAUGCUCUCUCAGCGGGAGCCAAACAUCGGUAGCCAAACAUUGAAGAUGGAGGUUAUGUUAAUGACAAACGUUUUGAAAUCCCGCUUCAACCAUACAUCAGAACUUCAGACGCACAAAUCUCAAGAUGCAAGCUUCAAGCAACAGUGAAUUUUAUUAUUCUGUUCUUGCUCACUCGUAAUAAGCUUAAAAUGAGAAGAUCGGGGGUACUGGUUUUGUUUACGAAGAUAUUUGUGCGCUCAAAAUAGUGAGUAGGUAACGAAGUCGGCCAUUGUGGCGGCCAUUUUGGGAUUCUAACAAGUCUGUCCUUAAACCUUGUUGAACCUGUGUGAUUGAUUGAAGAGUAUUGUUAUCUAGGUGUUGCGGAUAUAAUCAAAAUUGUUGUCACGAUAUCUCCAUUUGCCGUUGUCAAGCCGUUGGAAAGCGAGGAGAAGGAUAAACAUUGUUCUGAGCCUAUUUUAGCUAAUUUUGUAACAACUAUCCAUCAAAAUUUCCAUCGCGAAUGGAAAAUAAUAAACGUUGAACACGAGAACAAAAUUGGAAUAAUGGUGGAUUGAUCAUGUUUACCAUUUCCGAAUAGCGUCGCGACGCCGUGUUUGACAACCGAGCUGAGAGAGGUGGUUGCAAGAAAAUUGAACGCUCGUGCGUGUUUACAAGCUGUGUGCCAAGAGUGUGUAUGUGUGUGUUGGCUAGCUUGAAAAAUAAAACCGUUUCUAUUCGCAACACUCAGCUUCCAACACAGCCUCUCUGGAUGGAUGGUACUUCUUCGACAUUGUCGAUGUCGGCGUCGGUGGUGUAGUGGUAAGCGUGGUUGCCUCUCACCCCAGUCGGUCGGGGUUCAAUUCCCGUCGACGCCGAUGGGAUUUUCUGAGACAUAAAAUCCGUGAUCACGCCUUCCCUCGGAUAGGAAGUAAAGCCGUAGGUCCCGGCCCAUGUGUUGAUGGGUUCGAUAUGUAGGGUCCUCAGGUGUGGUGGCUGUCUCCCUGGGGCGUCGGAAUUUAAGGCUUAGCUCCUAGACCCAGCCGACGUAAAACACAA
Long non-coding RNA from Aedes albopictus (Asian tiger mosquito), 1671 nucleotides. RefSeq lists it as uncharacterized. Lineage: Eukaryota; Metazoa; Arthropoda; Insecta; Diptera; Culicidae. The record is from RefSeq and is a predicted model, not a curated record. The transcript has 2 exons.